Molecule: small nuclear RNA, 104 nt
Organism: Meriones unguiculatus (Mongolian gerbil)
Lineage: Eukaryota; Metazoa; Chordata; Mammalia; Rodentia; Muridae
Source: Ensembl
UGCUGACUUCAGCAGCCCAUGCACUAAACUGGACUGAUAAAGAGAAGAUUAGCAUGGCCUCUGCAAAGGAUGACACACACAUUGGUGAAGCAUUCAAAAACAAA